CCUACGGGCGGCAGCAGUGGGGAAUAUUGCACAAUGGGGGAAACCCUGAUGCAGCGACGCCGCGUGAGUGAAGAAGUAAUUCGUUAUGUAAAGCUCUAUCAGCAGGGAAGAAAAUGACGGUACCUGAGUAAGAGGCCCCGGCUAACUACGUGCCAGCAGCCGCGGGAAUACGUAGGGGGCAAGCGUUAUCGGGAUUUACUGGGGGUAAAGGGAGCGUAGACGGCAGGGCAAGUCUGGAGUGAAAGGCGGGGGCUCAACCCCCGGACUGCUCUGGAAACUGUACGGCGGGAGUGCAGGAGAGGAAAGUGGAAUUCCAAGUGUAGCGGUGAAAUGCGUAGAUAUUAGGAGGAACACCAGUGGCGAAGGCGGCUUACUGGACUGUAACUGACGUUGAGGCGCGAAAGCGUGGGGAGCAAACAGGAUUAGAUACCCGAGUAGUC
Molecule: ribosomal RNA, 440 nt
Filed under: uncultured bacterium
Lineage: Bacteria
Description: partial 16S ribosomal RNA
Rfam family: Bacterial small subunit ribosomal RNA
Source: RNAcentral